UACGUAGGGGGCAAGCGUUGUCCGGAAUCAUUGGGCGUAAAGCGCGUGUAGGCGGCCCACUAAGUCCGCUCUGAAAGCCCGGGGCUCAACCCCGGGAGGCGGGUGGAUACUGGUGGGCUCGAGUCCGGAAGAGGUCAGUGGAAUUCCCGGUGUAGCGGUGAAAUGCGCAGAUAUCGGGAGGAACACCAAUGGCGAAGGCAGGUCUCUGGGCCACUACUGACGCUGAGAAGCGAAAGCAUGGGGAGCGAACAGG
This 253-nucleotide ribosomal RNA is filed under the name uncultured bacterium. RNAcentral describes it as "partial 16S ribosomal RNA". It matches the Rfam family "Bacterial small subunit ribosomal RNA", at positions 524 to 776 of the family's 1533-position model. The record is from RNAcentral.